Molecule: ribosomal RNA, 885 nt
Filed under: uncultured Gammaproteobacteria bacterium
Lineage: Bacteria; Pseudomonadati; Pseudomonadota; Gammaproteobacteria
Description: bacterial SSU rRNA
Rfam family: Bacterial small subunit ribosomal RNA
Source: RNAcentral
UGCAGUCGAGCGGUAACAUGAUUAGUAGCAAUACUGAUUGAUGACGAGCGGCGGACGGGUGAGUAAUACGUAGGAACCUGCCCAGAAGCGGGGGACAACCAAGGGAAACUUUGGCUAAUACCGCAUGAACUCGGAAGAGUAAAGCUGCCCGCGAGGGUGGCACUUUUGGAGGGGCCUGCGUCCGAUUAGCUAGUUGGUGAGGUAAAGGCUCACCAAGGCGAUGAUUGGUAACUGGUCUGAGAGGACGACCAGUCACACUGGGACUGAGACACGGCCCAGACUCCUACGGGAGGCAGCAGUGGGGAAUAUUGGACAAUGGGGGCAACCCUGAUCCAGCGAUGCCGCGUGAGUGAAGAAGGCCUUCGGGUCGUAAAGCUCUUUAGGUUGGGAAGAAGGGUACGAUAUGAAUAAGAUUGUACUUUGACGGUACUGACAGAAUAAGCACCGGCAAACUCUGUGCCAGCAGCCGCGGUAAUACAGAGGGUGCGAGCGUUAAUCGGAGUUACUGGGCGUAAAGGGCGCGUAGGCGGUGUUAUGAGUGUGAUGUGAAAGCCCCGGGCUUAACCUGGGAAGUGCAUCGCAAACGAUAAUACUGGAGUAUAUGAGAGGGUGGCGGAAUUUCCGGUGUAGCGGUGAAAUGCGUAGAGAUCGGAAGGAACGUCGAUGGCGAAGGCAGCCACCUGGCAUAAUACUGACGCUGAGGCGCGAAAGCGUGGGGAGCGAACAGGAUUAGAUACCCUGGUAGUCCACGCUGUAAACGAUGAUAACUAGAUGUUGGUAGGGGAACCUAUCAGUAUCGAAGCUAACGCGAUAAGUUAUCCGCCUGGGAAGUACGGCCGCAAGGUUGAAACUCAAAGGAAUUGACGGGGGCCCGCACAAGCGGUG